AUGUAAACCAAAAGGGUUAGGACAGACAUUUGAUCAUAGUUCAGAUACUCAAGAUAAACUGGAACACCUGGUCUCAUAGCCAUCUUUAACUUCCGACUAUGAACACCUUAAAGAGGAUCAUGUUUGUGUUCACAGUAGGGGCUCAAUCACUGCUUAAUGAAAGAUGAAUGAUCCUGAGAAACUGCUUUGAAGUGCUUUGAUCUAGAGUCAAGCUUAUCCCACCCAGCCUACUUCCCCAAAGGUUUGCAGCCUGAGUCACUCAAUCCUGAGGCAUCACCAACAUCAUUUUUAUGCCUAGUGUGGGAGAGUGGAAAAAAAAUGUCAAGGUGUCAGAAGACUUUGGUUCGGCUUGUGAUUCACCAACAGGCUACAAAGAGCCAUGGUUUUAUCAUUCCUGAAUUUCAUCCUCAUCUGAGGAACAUGCUACGGUCCACUGGAAAAACUGAUUUGAGUGUCAGAGGUGCCUGCUUUCUCUCUCCUGAAUGUCUGGUUUUAGAAGAAUGAAGUCUAUUGACCUGUGCUGGUAGUCUGCAUUUAUGUGAACCUUGAUAUAAAACUGACUCUACCUUCUCAUCUAUAUAAGAUGACUUUCCUCCCAGAUAUAGAACUGCAAUUUCAUAAGAGCAAGAUUGGUUUAUUUUCACCAAGAAGGUGCCAUCUGUCUGCCCAGUACUGAGCUCUCAGGAAAUAAAGCAGCAUGGAAGACA
Molecule: long non-coding RNA, 707 nt
Filed under: Homo sapiens (human)
Lineage: Eukaryota; Metazoa; Chordata; Mammalia; Primates; Hominidae
Description: HSALNT0350472
Source: RNAcentral